RNAcentral lists this long non-coding RNA (202 nucleotides) under Elaeis guineensis (African oil palm). RNAcentral's name for it is "long non-coding RNA (EGUI_LNC043047)". The record is from RNAcentral. Lineage: Eukaryota; Viridiplantae; Streptophyta; Magnoliopsida; Arecales; Arecaceae.
AAAGCUUAUCUCUCAUGUGGCAUAGUAUUUACUUUAAUUUUCAAAGACUUUCAUAUUGAUCUUAAGGGAGAAGACUUCAGAGAACUCAUGUGCACUGACUAUUUUAAUGCCAAGACCUUGAAUCGCAUGAACUUUAUAAGGUUUAGGGUAGAUGGGUUUGGAUGGAGUCGGGAUAGGAGUAGGCCAGAGGAGAAGUUGAGGG